AUUGAACGCUGGCGGCAUGCUUUACACAUGCAAGUCGAACGGCAGCGCGGGCUUCGGCCUGGCGGCGAGUGGCGAACGGGUGAGUAAUACAUCGGAACGUGCCCAGUAGUGGGGGAUAGCUCGGCGAAAGCCGGAUUAAUACCGCAUACGACCUGAGGGUGAAAGCGGGGGAUCUUCGGACCCCGGGCUUUUGGAGGGGCCGAUGGCAGAUUAGCUAGUUGGUGGGGUAAAGGCCUACCAAGGCGACGAUCUGUAGCUGGUCUGAGAGGACGACCAGCCACACUGGGACUGAGACACGGCCCAGACUCCUACGGGAGGCAGCAGUGGGGAAUUUUGGACAAUGGGCGAAAGCCUGAUCCAGCAAUGCCGCGUGUGUGAUGAAGGCCUUCGGGUUGUAAAGCACUUUUGGCGGGAACGAAAAGGACUGUGCCAAUACCACGGUUCGAUGACGGUACCCGCAGAAUAAGCACCGGCUAACUACGUG
RNAcentral lists this ribosomal RNA (484 nucleotides) under uncultured bacterium. Its description in RNAcentral is "partial 16S ribosomal RNA". It matches the Rfam family "Bacterial small subunit ribosomal RNA", at positions 29 to 507 of the family's 1533-position model. The record is from RNAcentral.